AUGCUCGCUUCAGCAGUACACAUAUUAAAACUGGAACAGUACAGAGAAGAUUAACAUGGCUCCUGCACUAGAAUAACAUGCAAAUUCAUGAAGCAUUCCAUAUAUAC
Molecule: small nuclear RNA, 107 nt
Organism: Nannospalax galili (Upper Galilee mountains blind mole rat)
Lineage: Eukaryota; Metazoa; Chordata; Mammalia; Rodentia; Spalacidae
Source: Ensembl